Molecule: ribosomal RNA, 490 nt
Filed under: uncultured bacterium
Lineage: Bacteria
Description: partial 16S ribosomal RNA
Rfam family: Bacterial small subunit ribosomal RNA
Source: RNAcentral
AUUGAACGCUGGCGGCAGGCCUAACACAUGCAAGUCGAACGGUAACAGGAAGCAGCUUGCUGCUUCGCUGACGAGUGGCGGACGGGUGAGUAAUGUCUGGGAAGCUGCCUGAUGGAGGGGGAUAACUACUGGAAACGGUAGCUAAUACCGCAUAAUGUCGCAAGACCAAAGAGGGGGACCUUCGGGCCUCUUGCCAUCGGAUGUGCCCAGAUGGGAUUAGCUUGUUGGUGGGGUAACGGCUCACCAAGGCGACGAUCCCUAGCUGGUCUGAGAGGAUGACCAGCCACACUGGGACUGAGACACGAUCCAGACUCCUACGGGAGGCAGCAGUGGGGAAUAUUGCACAAUGGGCGCAAGCCUGAUGCAGCCAUGCCGCGUGUAUGAAGAAGGCCUUCGGGUUGUAAAGUACUUUCAGCGGGGAGGAAGGGAGUAAAGUUAAUACCUUUGCUCAUUGACGUUACCCGCAGAAGAAGCACCGGCUAACUCCGUG